CAAUAGCGUAUAUUAAAGUUGUUGCAGUUAAAAAGCUCGUAGUUGGACUUCUGAUGUGGAGGGACGGUCCGCCUCACGGUGAGCACUGAUUCUUCACGUCUUCCUCUCGUAGUCUUUUGGCGCACUUAGUUGGGUGCCUUUAGAAUAUGGGACCUUUACUUUGAAAAAAUUAGAGUGUUCAAAGCAGGCAAUUCGCCUGAAUAAUGGUGCAUGGAAUAAUGGAAUAGGACCUCGGUUCUAUUUUGUUGGUUUUCGGAACUUGAGGUAAUGAUUAAGAGGGACAGACGGGGGCAUUCGUAUUACGGUGUUAGAGGUGAAAUUCUUGGAUCGCCGUAAGACAGACUACUGCGAAAGCAUUUGCCAAGAAUGUUUUCAUUAAUCAAGAUCGAAAGUCAGAGGUUCGAAGACGAUCAGAU
RNAcentral lists this ribosomal RNA (416 nucleotides) under uncultured eukaryote. RNAcentral describes it as "bacterial SSU rRNA". It matches the Rfam family "Eukaryotic small subunit ribosomal RNA", at positions 592 to 1013 of the family's 1831-position model. The record is from RNAcentral.